GGGGAUAUAGCUCAGUGGUAGAGUACAUGCUUGGCACGAGGUCCUGGAUUCAAUCCCCAGUGCCCCCA
Molecule: transfer RNA, 68 nt
Filed under: Camelus bactrianus (Bactrian camel)
Lineage: Eukaryota; Metazoa; Chordata; Mammalia; Artiodactyla; Camelidae
Also listed under: 2 other names
Rfam family: tRNA
About the family: Transfer RNA (tRNA) molecules are approximately 80 nucleotides in length. Their secondary structure includes four short double-helical elements and three loops (D, anti-codon, and T loops).
Source: Rfam by way of RNAcentral